GGUCACGUGGCCUAAUGGCUAUGGCACUGGUCUUCGGAACCAGAAGUUGGGGGUUCGAGUCCCUCCGUGAUCU
Molecule: non-coding RNA, 73 nt
Organism: Dermatophagoides pteronyssinus (European house dust mite)
Lineage: Eukaryota; Metazoa; Arthropoda; Arachnida; Sarcoptiformes; Pyroglyphidae
Source: the annotation of a RefSeq genome assembly